RNAcentral lists this ribosomal RNA (252 nucleotides) under uncultured bacterium. Its description in RNAcentral is "partial 16S ribosomal RNA". It matches the Rfam family "Bacterial small subunit ribosomal RNA", at positions 524 to 776 of the family's 1533-position model. The record is from RNAcentral.
UACGAAGGGGGCUAGCGUUGCUCGGAAUCACUGGGCGUAAAGCGCACGUAGGCGGAUCUUUAAGUCAGGGGUGAAAUCCUGGAGCUCAACUCCAGAACUGCCUUUGAUACUGGGAUCUCGAGUCCGGGAGAGGUGAGUGGAACUGCGAGUGUAGAGGUGAAAUUCGUAGAUAUUCGCAAGAACACCAGUGGCGAAGGCGGCUCACUGGCCCGGUACUGACGCUGAGGUGCGAAAGCGUGGGGAGCAAACAGG